Molecule: long non-coding RNA, 562 nt
Organism: Scomber scombrus (Atlantic mackerel)
Lineage: Eukaryota; Metazoa; Chordata; Actinopteri; Scombriformes; Scombridae
Exons: 3
Source: RefSeq, a predicted model, not a curated record
UCUGACAAAAACUAGAAAGAGAGAUCACAUUACUCCUAUUUUAGCUUCACUGCAUUGGCUUCCUGUAAAAUCUAGAAUAGAAUUUAAAAUCCUUCUCCUCACUUUUAAAGCUCUUAAUGGUCAGGCUCCAUCAUAUCUUAAAGAGCUUAUAGUACCUUAUGUACCUACCAGAACACUGUGCUCCCAGCAUGCAGGUCUACUUGUGGUUCCUAGUAUCUCUAAAAGUAGAAUGGGAGGCAGAGCCUUCAGUUAUCAGGCUCCUCUCCUGUGGAACCAUCUCCCAGAUUGGGUCCGGAGGGCAGACACCCUCUCUACUUUUAAGAGUAGGCUUAAAACUUUCCUUUUUGAUAAAGCUUAUAGCUUGUCCUGGACCAGCUCCUAGUUUAUGCUGCUAUAGGCUUAGACUGCCGGGGGACUCCCAUGAUGCACAGAGCUCCUCUCUCCUCCUCCCUCUCUCUCUCUAUCCAUCCAUCUAUAUCCAUUAACAUUCAUGUACUAUUAAUACAUUCAAUAACCUAAACUUCUUCCCCGGAGUUUCUUCCUGUUAAAAGGGAGUUUUUUC